This 258-nucleotide long non-coding RNA is filed under the name Ananas comosus (pineapple). Its description in RNAcentral is "long non-coding RNA (ACOM_LNC035109)". Lineage: Eukaryota; Viridiplantae; Streptophyta; Magnoliopsida; Poales; Bromeliaceae. The record is from RNAcentral.
AGAUUACAUAAGGAAGUAUCAAUAACAUAAAACUAACUGCUAUUACAAGCAUUCAAUUCAUACACUUUAUACAUCACGAUUUUCUUUUACAUUUGCUUAACUUCCAAAUACAAUCACAUUAUUACAUCUAAUACAAGUUGGUUGUUGUCAAUCCAUUCUAACCCCUAGGCCCUGCUGACUCGGGAUACUGCUAUCUCGGUCUCUGGGGUAGGGCGCUAUCUACGGAGCUAUGCCCUUUUCUCGCGCCGCCGCACCGCU